This 140-nucleotide ribosomal RNA is filed under the name uncultured eukaryote. RNAcentral's name for it is "partial 18S ribosomal RNA". It matches the Rfam family "Eukaryotic small subunit ribosomal RNA", at positions 1299 to 1458 of the family's 1831-position model. The record is from RNAcentral.
UGGUGGAGUGAUUUGUCUGGUUAAUUCCGAUAACGAACGAGACCUUAACCUGCUAAAUAGUUACACUAACCUCUGGUUGGUGGUCAUACUUCUUAGAGGGACUUUCGGUGUUUAACCGAAGGAAGUUUGAGGCAAUAACA